RNAcentral lists this ribosomal RNA (258 nucleotides) under uncultured prokaryote. RNAcentral describes it as "partial 16S ribosomal RNA". It matches the Rfam family "Bacterial small subunit ribosomal RNA", at positions 524 to 782 of the family's 1533-position model. The record is from RNAcentral.
CACGUAGGGGCGAGCGUUGUCCGGAAUUACUGGGCGUAAAGGGCGCGCAGGCUGUUAUGCGAGUCUGCUGUGAAAUGUACCGGCUCAACCGGUGCCUUGCGGCGGAUACUGCAUAGCUGGAGUACUGGAGAGGGAAGUGGAAUUCCCGGUGUAGCGGUGAAAUGCGUAGAUAUUAGGAGGAACAUCAGUGGCGAAGGCGGCUUACUGGACUGUAACUGACGCUGAGUCACGAAAGCGUGGGUAGCAAACAGGAUUAGA